CCUACGGGAGGCAGCAGUAAGGAAUCUUCCACAAUGGACGAAAGUCUGAUGGAGCAACGCCGCGUGCAGGAUGAAGGCUUUCGGGUCGUAAACUGCUUUUAUAUGGGAAGAUUAUGACGGUACCAUAUGAAUAAGGACCGGCUAACUACGUGCCAGCAGCCGCGGUAAUACGUAGGGUCCAAGCGAUGUCCGGAAUUACUGGGCGUAAAGCGUGUGUAGGUGGAUUAAUAAGUGUGAUGCGAAAUCCGGCGGCUCAACCGUUUGGACUGUGUCGCAUACUGUUAGUCUAGAGGACGGCAGAGGUAAGUGGAAUUACGGGUGUAGCAGUGAAAUGCGUAGAUAUCCGUAGGAACACCAAUGGCGAAGGCAGCUUACUGGGCCACACCUGACACUGAGACACGAAAGCGUGGGGAGCGAACAGGAUUAGAUACCCUGGUAGUCCACGCCGUAAACGAUGCAUACUAUUAGUAUGGGGUAUCGACCCCCUGUGCUGAGAAGCUAACGCGAUAAGUAUGCCGCCUGGGGAGUACGAGCGCAAGCUUAAAACUCAAAGGAAUUGACGGCUGAGACGNGCGACGACGACACGAGGAGAGG
This 594-nucleotide ribosomal RNA is filed under the name uncultured bacterium. Its description in RNAcentral is "bacterial SSU rRNA". It matches the Rfam family "Bacterial small subunit ribosomal RNA", at positions 338 to 961 of the family's 1533-position model. The record is from RNAcentral.